RNAcentral lists this long non-coding RNA (24467 nucleotides) under Musa acuminata (dwarf banana). The record is from RNAcentral. Lineage: Eukaryota; Viridiplantae; Streptophyta; Magnoliopsida; Zingiberales; Musaceae.
AAAAAUCGACCUGAAACGCAGCACUGAGUCUAUUGGCAUUGUUGAAAGGAUCGAAUAUGACCCUAAUCGUUCUUCUCGGAUCGCUCUAGUACGAUGGGGGGUUAAGCUACGCCGCCAGAGGAAAUGCAACACGAUAGAAGAGUUCGCUCCGCCGCGUAAGAUCCUAGAAUCCACCAUUGCCACUAUCUUUUGCCUUUAUUCGUUCUCUUCCCUGCCCGGUCAAGUUUCUCAAAGAAGGGGCUCCCAAGCCAAGUGCUUGCUUACGCUUAAUGUAGUGGUCGGCCUUCCAACCUUCAUGCCUCCUUGGUCGAAGAGCCAAGCCAGCGCAGGAAGCAAACAAACUAGCGCGAAGGACGUUUUCUUCUCUUCCCUGUCCUCCCCCUUUGCCAAGGGAGAUACUACAUCCCUUUGCUUCGAUAGCUCUUUAAGUAUCCCAAGGAUAGCAGUAGCUGGGGCAAAGCGCACUUUCUUUGCUCCGCGAAUGAGAGAUCAAGUUCUUGGAAUCAAUCCGUUUUCUCUUUGCGAGAUCCGAAAGUGGAGAACGGAUUGCGUUAUCUGGGCACAUAGGAUCAAACGUAAAGGAGCGCUUUCUUGGCAGAGUUUGAGGCAGCAAGAAAGAUUAGGGCUUGUUGAAGCAGCUGAGCAUAAUGAAUCGAAGCCGAAGACGGAUCAAGGUAGCUUGCAAGCCAAGCCUAUAGGCGAAGGUAUGAAGGAUAGAGCGUGCAAAGUCGAUCGUGCACCUGUCGUGUGACCCGUUGGUCCUAAGCAAUGUCUUUUGCGAAGCGACCCACCUAGAAAUCUCUCUCCUUUUAGAGAGUAACUACAAUUGAACUUCAAUCAGAUGCGGGUAUCCAAUCCCGCCGCUGAGAUGUCCAGCGGAUUCCAUGGCCUUGACGAAUGGCCGGACACCAUUGUUGUUAGAAGAGCAAAAGGCCUGGGGCAUAGCAGGAUGAACCAAUGUGAAUGAGUGUUAAGCUUCGUAGUCCGAACACGAUUGGUGCUGACCACACUAGGAGCUACCGUGGUAGCAAGAGAGGCCAGGCGGUUACAAUUGAUAGGUUGUCACUGAGCAUUCCGUCUCACACGGGAAGAGAGGUUUCAUUGCAAGGCUCAAAGGCAAUAAGCCCGUGUGGAUCCUCGCGGAGUAUAGCUCACAUCCAAACAUCUGAUUGGGGAACGGGGCAACGCCCAUGAAGCUCCGGCAGAAAGGGAAGGUCUGCCAGGCCGUAUGCGCAUGGGUGCAGGAUUCUUCGAAAAAGCAAGGGCUGACUCGGAGACCUGAGACCUUGGCUUAGCAACGAAUGAUGGGAAGCUAUAAGAGCUUUCUCUGCCAGCGGCUUAUGUAGUGGUCGGCUCGCUCCACUUUGCUUCUCCCCUUAUUCCACUUCAUGAAAUUCAGUAGUAUCAAUAAGCUACUUGUCGAGUUUACAAAGCUUUGUUUCUUGUAGUAUACCCGCCUACCUUCAUUUGCUUGGCGGGCUUCUUAUAAAAGUCAGGAAGGAAGCAUUGAGGUGGUCGACCACUACUAAUAUUUCUUUCUAUACCAAGUAAUGAGCGAUAGCGAAGCCAAGCCUCUUUUUUAAGGCGGGUUAGACCUGAUGGCAAAAAGAUAGAAGUGACUUUGCCGAGCCGAGGCUAAGGUUAUGGAAUUACAGAGUGAGUUUUAGGUAGUCAAACAAAAUAACUGGCUUAGCUGUUCUGUUCUACAAAGGAUCAAAGCUUUUGUGAAAAAGUCACUUAUCAGUCUACAAAGAAAGGGAGGAGUAACGCUGUGGAUAUAGACUAGGCGUCGUAACAGAGUCUUGUCAGUAUGAACCUUAAGGGAAUAAGUCCGCCUUGUCAGUAUGAACCUUAAGGAAGAAGUAAGCGAAAGUGAGCUCGUAACUAAUAAAGCUGGUAUAAGAAACAAAACCCUAACAAAUGGAAUCUAUAAAUUUCAAGCUAAGAAGUCAAGGAAGGAAGCAGCUUCUCUAAUAACCGAGCUUUGGCUUGAUUUUCAAAGGAGAGAGAGAGGGGCUUUCUAGGAAGAGCCGUACGAGGCAGCUCACAUACGGUUCGGUAGCCGAGCCACAGGACACAGGGGCUUAGGUCAACACUUAUAUAUUAGCAAGUCAUCAAUUGGAAGCGGGUAAAACGGUGAUGAAUUGCGAUUGGUCCAAACCUUCUAAAAGCUUCUUGCGACCUGCCCAGAAUGUCCAUACAUACCUUCGUCGGUUCCAAGACCUUGUUCCCACUGCGAAUUCAGAUCGGGUUGAAGGGAGCAAUGAGCUGGCUGCUUCUUUGCCACGCCCCCCAGUUUCUAGAUACAGGAAAGGAGAUCUCAAUUCUCAAGUAGGAAAUUGCAUACCAUUAGCAAAUCUACGUAUGGGAACAUGGGUACAUGAUAUUGAAUGUAAUCCAGGUCAAGGCGCAAAGCUAGUUCGAGCCGCAGGAACAUAUGCGAAAAUAAUCAAGGAGCCUGCCUCACUCUGUCUUGUGCAGCUACCUUCGGGUGUUUCCAAACAAAUAGAUUCCCGAUGCCGAGCUACAAUUGGUAUAGUUUCUAAUCCCAACCAUGGUGCACGUAAGCUUCGAAAAGCUGGACAAAGCCGGUGGUUAGGCAGACGCCCCAUUGUUCGUGGUGUUGCAAUGAAUCCAGUGGAUCAUCCUCAUGGAGGAGGUGAGGGGCGCACGAAAGGAGGUAGACCUUCGGUGUCACCUUGGGGGAAGCCAACCAAAGCAGGAUUUCGGGCAGUAUUGGGGGUUGGUCAAGUCAGAAUGUAGUUAAUCAUGCCACGACGAUCUCUAUGGAAGGGGAGUUUUCUUGAUGCUUUCCUGUUUAGAAUGAAGAAGAACAGAGAACAGAUUGAUAGCAGGAAAAUUUGGUCACGUAGAUCUUCUAUUUCGCCAGAAUUCGUUGAUUGCUCCGUACUCAUUUACAAUGGAAAAACUCCUGUUCGUUGUAAGAUCACUGAUGGAAAGGUUGGGCAUAAAUUUGGAGAGUUUGCUUUUACACGGUCCUCGAAAACAAAUAGAGUAAAGGGAAGAAAGGGGAUAAAUCCAGUCUAAGCGCCAUAUGGCACGAAAAGGAAAUCCGAUUUCGGUAAGACUUGAUCUGAAUCGUAGUUCAGAUCCAAGUCGGUUCAGUGAGGGCGACCGCGAAAGUAACCGAAUGGGUCCGGUCCGUCUUUUCCUGAUCUUUCUCCCAUAGAACAGAAAUGAAAGGCAUGGAAGGACGUAGCAGAUGUCCGGGACGGACACGACUUCUUCUACCGCUAGAAGACCACAGGAAGAAAUCAACCCUGGACUAUAGCAUGUCGUGAAAGAGGCACCCCAUACUAUGAAAAGCGGGCGUGUUUCCACCGUGUCUCCGGAGCACAGUUGAAUGUAGAUAUUAUGAACGCGAGGUGAAGGAUACCAGGCCGAUAAACCAAAGCAAGCAAGCACUCCCUAAUGUGCUGAUCCCUAGCGCAUCCAGGGCCCCGGCACCCAGCUCGCUUAACUGGAGAGUCCGUAACAGAUCUUAGAAGUUCUCGAGUCGUAUAUCAGCCCUGUCCUAGGAAUAAAUCACCCCAAAUAGUUCACUCAGUUUCAUUUCUUAGCAGCAGUGAAUAAACCGAAAGAGGAGAUCGCCAAGCAGGCAAGUAACUACGCUCGGCUUAGCACUAUGCUCCGCUUCAACAAAUGAUAGUUUUCGGUAGAACCGGUGAACCACGCGAGCAGGUUAGAUGCGUGGGACAGAGGGCUCAUAGUACCAUAUUUCGCAGCUAUGCAGUGGAUGAGAAGGAGCCUAAAUAAACCAACCACUCCCAUUCUUUUUUAUUCAAAGACAGACACAAAAGCACUGUUCUCAGAGAUUGGACUCUCGGAUUAGACUAAGCAGCUACCGUUCCGACGCGCCCCUAGUGGACUUGGCGGUGCUCUUUCUUUUCUCAAACCAUAACAACUCUUAACUUUAGGGAAGAUAAGGGAAGACCACCUGAGCGAAUCGACCGAAGGCACUUUACUUAUCCCAACCGAACGUUAGCGGCUUCUAUCACGAGCAGCGUCACAGCAGCGGGGAGGAUUCUCUCCAAGUAUGGGGCAAAGGAUCAAUCGCUUUCACAUUGUCCCCCGGGAUCCACUACAGGUUUGGUUUUCGAGCCGUGUGAUGGGUAACUAUCCAGCACGGUUCAGAGAGCAAUUUUCUUUAGUCUGCGCUGGUGAAUAGAAGCCCCUAGGUCUAAUAAGCAGGAUUUCUUUCUCUUCCCACGGCUCCGUCACUAUUGACUCUAUUUAUUAUUAUGGUAAAUCAGUCUAUCAAGAUGUCAAUCUUAGAUCUUAUUUCGGUUCGAUACGUCCACCUACAAUAUUUACCUUUGGCUUUCGUCUUGGUAGGUGUAUUAUUCUACAUUUUCCAAAAAGGACAUUUAUGAAUUUCUUUCUUCCCCGUCGACCACUACGACUGAAACAACCCGACAAAUCAAGACCCGGAAAGGCUUUGGGCCGGUGGUGGGCAUUUGAGAAAGUCGGGCCGAUCAGGUGUCUUUAUUCAAGCGAGGGUAAAGAGGAACAACGAAACGAAGUCAGAGGCCAGGGGGCAAGGAAAAGAGUGGAGUUGAUAAGGCUCUUAGACCGGGAUAAGCAAAACUCAAUCCUUAUUUGGCCGAAAAAGAAGCUAAGCUAUGGAUACCAUGACCGAUCACCAUCGAUAAAUACUCCUAUUUCUAAAUUACUUCGGGUCAGCGGGGCGCAUCCUAAAUACUUAGGGGUUGUAAAUAACAUAGCCUUGAAGAUGGAGAAUGACCACUCCUCCAGAAGAACUCCGUUAUUAAAGUUCUUUUUACCAAAGAAGUACCGCGGCCCGACGCGGACCCUCCCAGCAGCAGCAGUGCGUCCAUCCUUUCAUUAUUUGGUUAUGCAAUACUUAUUGAAUACAAAGAACAAAAUGCAUUUCGACCCCGUCUCCGUUCUCAAUCAUUUCGUGGCACCGGGUUUGGCUGAACCAUCUACUUUGAGGGGAAGUCAGGCAGGAAGCCACUUCGAAAGGAGAAUACGCUCUCGCAUCGCUUUUUUAGUAUCAAGCUUUACCAGCGAUAGAAAGUGUCUUGGCCAAGUCAAAAGGAGGUUUCUCCACUUAAUUAGCUUGGCGAAUGAUCUUCGCUUCGCGGGAACAACAAAAACAACCAUAUCACUCUUUCCUUUCUUCGGUGCUACCUUUUUCUUUCCAAGGGAUGGAGUCGGGGUGUAUAAGAACCUCUUUUUGGACAAUGCCCGGGAACAACUCCUAGGUCAAUUAAGGAUCAAAUGUUGGAACCUCAUGGGUAAGGCUCCCAAUGCUAUAAUUUCAUUAAUGGAUAAAUUAAUGGACCUCGGUGAUAUUAGAGAAUUAAUAAAAGGAAUAGAUAUUCUGAUAGAGAUCAUACUGAGAAAGAGGAGAAUUCCUUACGGGUACAACUCUUAUUUGAACGAAGUGCACAAAAUGCGAUAUAAUCUGUUUCAGAGAACUCAGACUAAUACCUUAAUUGAGUCGGUCAAGAUCAAAUCCGUUUGUCAAAGUGCUUCUCUGAUUGCUCAAGACAUCUCUUUUCAACCGAGGAACAAUCCAAUCUCAUUUCGUUCCAUUUUUAGUAAUAUAGUCAAGGAGAUUCCCUUAAUAAUGCCUAAAGGGGUGGAGGGGAUACGUAUUAGUUGUUCAGGUCGAUUAGGAGGUGCGGAAAUAGCUAGAACUGAAUGCGGAAAGUUUGGAAAAACAUCUCCUAAUGUAUUUAACCAGAAAAUCGAUUAUGCUCCCGCUGAAGUCUCUACUCGUUACGGAAUUUCAGGUGUCAAAGUGCGGAUCUCAUAUAGUAUGAAAAAGAAGGGACGUGCUACAUCCGAAACGUACAAAAUAUAAUAAAUCUAGUAAAAGCAGAUGUAGUAGGGGUUGCGAACCAGACGGUACACAACUUCGUUUUGGAAGAUAUGGCACCAAAAGUCGUGAAGCAGGUCGUCUUUCAUAUCGAGCCAUUGAAGCAGCGCGUCGGGCUACAAUCGGACAAUUCCAUCGUGCUAUGAGCGGACAAUUCCGAAGAAAUGCUAAGAUAUGGGUCAGAGUUCUCGCAGAUCUUCCUAUUACGGGGAAACCUAUAGAAGUUCGAAUGGGAAGAGGAAAAGGUAAUCCUACGGGUUGGAUUGCUCGUGUGUCUACGGGACAAAUCCCAUUUGAAAUGGAUGGUGUGAGUUUGUCAAAUGCUCGACAAGCCGCUACAUUAGCAGCGCAUAAACCAUGUUCGUCAACCAAGUUAGUUAUGUGGUCGUAACGUAAUUGGUUAGUGGAGGGCGUCGUUGCUUGGCUCUUUUUCAUCGCCGAAAUUCGUAGACGAACCCUCUUUUGUUCCAGGCGUACGACCCUGAGACGAGACGAGACGUAACCGAUGUCACUUUUACGGCCCUCCAGACAGUUACUCAAGUAAGAAUAAGAAAGAGAAGGAAGAGCUCCAAUUCAAAGAAAGACUCCGUUUUCUUUUUCACCGAGCCACAUCUGGUGAGUAUGUGUUUUAGAAGGACUCAGGCAAAAGCAUGCAUGGGCGUAGCGCUUGAGCUUAGGUAGGAUUUCAGAAGCUCUAUCUGUAUAGUAAGGCUUGUCUCUGUUGGCAACCAAUCAGACUCAAACAAUAGCAUAGGAAACAAGAGCGUAGGAGUGAGAGGCAGGAUAAGGAGAAUAAAAGACAGAAAAGUCAGAUCUAGGUGUCGUAGUUGAAGAGCAAAAGGCAGCUUUUAGUUUAGUGGUUGAAGAGCGGCCGGGGCAAGUAAGGAAGAGUAGGCUAAUAGGCUAGAGUUUCAUUCCCAUUUCGUGGUGGGGGGGGUCUCAUUCUGAGUCAUUCUGUAACUAUUUCAUUCUCACUUUAACCAGUUUCUUUCUUGGACUUAGCAGUUCCAUUCUUCAAUUCAGUAUUCCUAGGCUUAGUUCCACUAGUAGGCUUAGUUCCACUAGGGCAUCAGGCAACUGACUUAAGGCUUAUACUCGCUAGUGGAAUUCUGUAAACUCCCAAGCGUAUACUCGGUGCUUUGCUUUAAGGCUUCUAUUUACGAGUGGAAUUCUGAUAUUAGUACUAGGGCAUCACUUAUCUUAGUACUAGGGCAUCAGUGGUUGAAUUCCGAUACUGCUUAGGUGCAUUCUGAUCUACUACCCUCCCAAGUGUUGAAUUCUGAUCUUAGUAGUAAAUGUAGUGACUUGGCCAGCUAUUUACUUAUAACUAACUACUCUAAGAACAAGAACAGACUAUCAUCUAUAAUACCAGGCACUCGAGCUCUACAUUCCUUGGUGAAAGAUUCUACCUUGCCUAUCUCUACUUUGGCUACUGAGUUUGGCUACGCCGUUCCAUCAAAACAGAAUCCAAGUUUCAAUAAGAGAAUCGAACUAAGUAGUACAAACCAGCAAGCAAGGACCCGGAUCGGUAUUUCCAGAGUUUCGCUGAGGAGCGGAAGAGCAACAUGAGCACAUAAGAAUGAGAGGAACAAAUGCAGGACAGCAAAUACGGGACAACAAAUAAAGGACGGAGAGACAGGAUCGGGUCACUCGAUACUAGCUAUGAGUAGCAGCCUCAUUUGUAUAGUAGUAGGAUUAUGAUAGCAAUAGUGAAAGCCUCGGUAUCAGUGGUCCGAGCCCUGUUGUUAGUUGUCAUUCCCUGGUUAAUAGUUUGAUUCCUAUGGUAAGGCGUUUAGUUUGUAUCCGUUACUUGGUGACUUAUCGACAGGUUAUUUAGAAUAGGAGUUAGGGAAGGCAUACUUCAAACAAGUAGAGUUAGACUCAAGGGUUGGGGUAAUAAGCUCGGAUUAUAUUAAGUAGUCGUAUAGCCUUAAAGGGAGUAGUUUCAAACCUUAGGAGCAGUAGGCUUUCAGCACCUUCUUUUUCUUAUUCUAGUAGUGAGGGGUGCCUAUUCAGUAAGUCUGGUUUCAGCUAGAGCGGAGUCGUAGUUCAUUUUCGUUAUCCAUAAAUGAAGUCAGUAUUAGAAGUCAGAGUCUUGUUAGGCGCCUAGGGCAUCUAAGCUUCCGAAUUGAGUUCGUUAGUGGUAUGUUUGAUUCUAAGUUCCCAGUCCUCCUCUCUUAUUAAUUGAAUUCCCUAUGCCCUGUGUCAUUCUUACAAGUAUAUGGGUUUGAUUCCGAUUAUUGCUAGUCAACAUUCUUUUUAUUAUGAUUCCAUUAUUAUGGGUGUUGGUCCCAUCCCUAUAGUCAGAGUUUUUGUCUUAGGAAGUACUCGGGGAAUUCUGACUUGGAGUUUAAGCCCUUGUAGCCGAACGUUCAGUUAAGUAUUUCAUAGUCUUAUAAGCACUAGUGAAUUUCUGUCCUUGUUCGCCUAGUAGUCUGCUCUUAUGUUUUCAACUCUGAGUCUAUUACUAGAUGCGCUAUCCUCUUACUAUUAACUACUAAAUUGAGUCUUCUACUGACCUAGAUCAGACUCCCAGUCCGGGUGCCAAGGAACAAAUACCAAAGGAGGAAAUAGGUAUUAAGGCUAUCUGAAAGGAAAGUAAUACUUAAGGCAAGGAGAGGCGGGCCUAGGUUUGUUCCCCAGGGAAUGCAAGGGGCCAUUAGAAGACUUACGCUCAAACAUAAGAUCCAUACAUCGACGUUUGAUUGUGUCCUAUAGUCCCAGCAAAGGUCCAGCACAAGAUUCCGGCUUUCCAUUAGUACGCUCACACGACCUCAGUAGUUCAAUUCAUAGUUAUGCGUUUGAGUACUCUUUCUCUCUUGUAAGAAUUGAUUAAUGGAAUUGGAAGGUGAGAAACAGAAUCCGCAGGAGCUAGAUCAGGUACAGGUGCAGUUCCAGGCCCAACAACAAGACUAAGUAGAGAGAAUAGAAGAAAGCACCAGGAUAGAUAGCCGGUAUUGCACUAAAGAAUGGUGUUUACUUAUAGGCUAGGGACCCAACCCAUACAUAAAAGACAAAGAGAGGCCAAGUCGAGUAGUAGAGUUAGGGGAAGAAUAUAGUCACGAGAGAAUGAAUCAGCGGGAUAUUCGGCAGGAAGUCAAGUUUAGUGCUAUCGGUCAGGGUCAAUUGUUUUCUCCUAUAUAGUAUAGUUUCAUCCUUAUUUGUUGGCUUGAAGACCCGGUAGUUGCAGAGUUGAAGACCGGGUUAGUUGGAUAACCUCUGUGCUUAGGGCGUAGGAGAACCCGGCAAGUCACUUCUAAUGUGUAGCUUAUGGGAGUUCUUUGCUCUCUUAGUCAAUACGCCGUUCCAUUCUUUAAUUCAAUCAAGUAGUAGUCUAGGUAAAGUUACAGUGAUAAAGAAAGACAGAAAUCAAGCUUUACCUUUUACAUCCCCGGAUGGCUAAGUAAACUAAUUCAGAUUUAUUACUACCCCAGACACUUGCUGCUGGCUCUGCUCUCGCUCUCCCUCCUUUCUCAUUAGAACUACCCUUUAGCCUUGAUUCUUACAUCCCAGCUUCAUUCUUGUUAUAGGCAGUAGUUCGUUCUGUGACUCCUAGCUUUAGGUCUUACUCUAUGAUUCCUAUGUGUAGGGUUCGACCUGCCACUCUUCACUCUCAAUCUUGUUGUUGGUUUGAGCCUGACACUGUUUAUAGGCUUGGCCCGUUGCUUGGAGUCUAUUACGUUGUUUGUCUAGUUGAAAUGAUUCCAAAAAGGGUUUGACGGCCUUCUUGAACUGAACCUUGUAGUGGUGGACCUCCUCUCUUGUUGGUAACGUCACUGAUUGUCCUUCAGUGCGAGUUUCGUCUUCAAGAUCAAGAUUAGUAUCUUCAGACUUAGAUGUGGGGAGCAGUGCCGAGAAUAAGCCUAGAGUCUUGUGCGCGCUAAAGUCAGUAGUAAGUUCAAGUGAUGAUCCAGUGUAUCCAAAUAUAUGGAAAGCAUAAGAGUGUUGUGAAAGAAGCAGAAGAUGGAGCUAUAUCAGAAGAAAGAAAGUAAACAUCAACGAGAUCAAAAGCGGGAUCAGGUGAUUUGUUCCAGAUUAAAGUAGAGUUUCCGUUAAAGCAGUAGAAUCGCGACCAGACCAUAAAGGGUACGUUCGGAUGGAAUCUUAGAGAUCAGAGUUCUUGGCUAGAAGUCUGUAGAGACAGGUUAUUGUGUUGAAGCAAAAGAGAAAGAGUGAGAUUAGCCUCAUUCAGUUAGCAGAGAUGAACUAGAAGUAUAGUAGCCAUAGGAGAGGAAGUAUUUGUUUACAGAGGACUGGUCUAGUAGCCGAGGUGAACUCAUCGGUAAGAGCCUCUACUAUUUGCUAUGAAAAAUCCCGGGAAAACGCACAAAUCGAAUUCCCAAUAGGUGCUCCAGGAAGGAAAAGAUCUUUGCUAUCAAAAAUCCNNNNNNNNNNNNNNNNNNNNNNNNNNNNNNNNNNNNNNNNNNNNNNNNNNNNNNNNNNNNNNNNNNNNNNNNNNNNNNNNNNNNNNNNNNNNNNNNNNNNNNNNNNNNNNNNNNNNNNNNNNNNNNNNNNNNNNNNNNNNNNNNNNNNNNNNNNNNNNNNNNNNNNNNNNNNNNNNNNNNNNNNNNNNNNNNNNNNNNNNNNNNNNNNNNNNNNNNNNNNNNNNNNNNNNNNNNNNNNNNNNNNNNNNNNNNNNNNNNNNNNNNNNNNNNNNNNNNNNNNNNNNNNNNNNNNNNNNNNNNNNNNNNNNNNNNNNNNNNNNNNNNNNNNNNNNNNNNNNNNNNNNNNNNNNNNNNNNNNNNNNNNNNNNNNNNNNNNNNNNNNNNNNNNNNNNNNNNNNNNNNNNNNNNNNNNNNNNNNNNNNNNNNNNNNNNNNNNNNNNNNNNNNNNNNNNNNNNNNNNNNNNNNNNNNNNNNNNNNNNNNNNNNNNNNNNNNNNNNNNNNNNNNNNNNNNNNNNNNNNNNNNNNNNNNNNNNNNNNNNNNNNNNNNNNNNNNNNNNNNNNNNNNNNNNNNNNNNNNNNNNNNNNNNNNNNNNNNNNNNNNNNNNNNNNNNNNNNNNNNNNNNNNNNNNNNNNNNNNNNNNNNNNNNNNNNNNNNNNNNNNNNNNNNNNNNNNNNNNNNNNNNNNNNNNNNNNNNNNNNNNNNNNNNNNNNNNNNNNNNNNNNNNNNNNNNNNNNNNNNNNNNNNNNNNNNNUAACAGCCUGUGUAUACCAACAUAGUAAUUUGGAUGUUUGAGAAGUUGACCCCGGCUUAAACAACCAUAAAGAAACCUUAUUUCUUGCCUUCACAGAGUAGAGUUGUGGUAGGUUCGGUAAAACCUGCGCUUUGCCUUAGUAACUCAACUUCUUGUCUUGCUGUUCGAGGUGAAGAGUAGAGAUCAAUCGACUCUUGUCCAAGAAACUAGUCCUGUUUGUUGUCAGCGAUAGGUAGCUGCCCGGAGUCAGUCCUGAUUGUCUUUCUAUAGUAGCAGGAUUAGAUGCAAGAUCAUCAACUUAUGAAUUGCCAGUUACAGAAUAAUAAGGAAAUAGACCAGAAGCCGAAGAUCAUACCCACCGGAGCGCUUAAGCUGUUCGAGUGUUGUCUACAAGAUCCGGACCAGAAGAUAGAGCUGGUGAGGAAACAGGAGAAGUUCGGGCAUUGUCUGCAAGAUCCUUUUUUGCAGAGCGGUUAUUUAGCUUUAUUGUCGUGUGGAAUGUGCUUCUUGUCCUUCCGCUCUUGUUGAAUCAUAAAAAGAAUAAGUCUAUUAGGCAGGGAAUAUUACUUCUUUAUAUAUAGGUGUUCCAUAGAUUUGAUUGAUUUCUUAACUUCCAUUGAAAGGAGAGGUUGGCUUUGGGGAAGCUGGAAGGAAAGUAGACCACNNNNNNNNNNNNNNNNNNNNNNNNNNNNNNNNNNNNNNNNNNNNNNNNNNNNNNNNNNNNNNNNNNNNNNNNNNNNNNNNNNNNNNNNNNNNNNNNNNNNNNNNNNNNNNNNNNNNNNNNNNNNNNNNNNNNNNNNNNNNNNNNNNNNNNNNNNNNNNNNNNNNNNNNNNNNNNNNNNNNNNNNNNNNNNNNNNNNNNNNNNNNNNNNNNNNNNNNNNNNNNNNNAAUAGUCCAGCUGACUGACUUGCUAUGUGUUUUAAGAAUGAAGUUAGAUAAGCCUGAGUUCAAAGAGGAAGUAUGGAGGCCCUUAUUAUAAGUUUGUGAACUCAAAUGUAAGAAUAGAGCUCAGUAGUCAAAGAAUGAAGAAGUACCCUAGAUGCGGGGAUUCAGUGCUUGUGUUAAGCCAUGAGUCAAUAGAGAAGUUGUAGCUUGGCGGAUAAGAAUCAAGAGCUGUUUCCGUUCUCAAGUCAGCAGAAGCUAGAGAAGGAUCCGAUCCGGGUGUUGGUAAGAAGAAAUUCCAUGCUUUUUAGUGGAAUUAUUAGUAGUGCUCUGUUCCUGUUCCUGUACUUGUGUAGUAGUGACUUGGCCCGAUGCUCUAGUAGUAGUAACUAAGGUCUUAAUUCCCUAGUGGAGAGCCUCAUUCUGUUAUUGACUACUUUCAUUCUCACUUUAUUACUUCUUAGUUUCAGAAGACCAGACCACUUCUUAUAGUUAGAAUCGUUUCUACCCCUUAUAGUAAAGGUUGGAUAUAGAUACUGGUCAGAUUACUAAUACAUACAUAUAUACUUUAGCUCGAAAGAAAGAAGACUGUCCUGUUGAGACUCGGAACAAGACUCAGUGAGAGUUGAGAAAUUGACAGUGCCAGCAACCAACAGCAAAUAUGACUUGCUACCACUUGUGGCUUUGCUUGUUCCGGUGAUUUAAGCAUUUUCCCCUAGCAGUGGAUUCCCACACUUUUCGCAAGAGUCCCUAGUGUGCGCAAGCCCUUAAUGCGAGUGAAAAUUCCGUUUGUGAGUGUCCAUCAUAUAUAGAAGCGUCGGUAAAGUAGAGUAUAUAAGCUGUCUUCGGAUUCUUAAGCAAGCAGUACAGUCAUUGUAUCAAGAAGCCCACGUAGCGGUUAAGCAGUUAAGUAAGAAAGAGAAACCGGAGCUGUUUUCCAAGUAGCCACUAGUUGACAGAGAGGAGAAAGAAGUAUAUGAGCCCUAGGAGCAAGUCAGAAGAGCUUAGUAUUGGUGCCUAGCCUGAGCUAUAGUAGCCAUAGCUCUCGUUGCCAGAGUGAGAUUCGAUGGAAAGGUAUAGAUAGGAUAAAAGAGUGCAGCAAGUCAGAAUUAUUGUAUAAAGGUAUGGAAUGGCGCCUAUAGAGAACCUGUCCUGUCCGAUAAACAAGUAGUGGAUUGGCGAUGAGAAAUAAUUCAUUGAAAGCCUAUAAACCAGGGGUAUUCGUUAUCAGAGUUGUUGGCUUGAAGACCAGAUUGAGAUAUAGAUAACAGCGCUACCACGCAACAUUCUCCUAAGCUUGGUGGCUUUCACACCAGAAAGAGAGUGACUUGGCCCAUAGUUUAGUCUUCUCUUAAGUGGACAAGUCGUAGUUAAGUUUCAUACCAAGCAAGUAGUCUCGUAGUUGAAUCCCCUUCAUUUGUAGUUACAUCCCCUGUGCAAGUUCUCAAGUCGGAAUUCCACUCAGCAGUAACAGAAUCCGAAUUUCACUCCGCAGUCACAAUAUUAAACCACUAAGAAUCAGAAUGAAACUAGCUUGACCUAGACUUGACUUCUAUUUAAGAACUGCCUGCCCCUUUCACUAAACACAUGGGUGAUACUACUGGAUUAAUGAACUACCUUUUCUCUCUUUUAUCAUUGCUUAACAAAUAGCUUAUACUACUUGCUUAAUUAAGACCUCUUGAAACUAUCCCUCUCCUCUGGCUACGCCGUUCAAUUACAACUUUGCUACGAGGUUCUAUUUAUCUAUAUACUAGUGUCAUUCUUAUACAUACUAGUUUCUGUUCUUCCUUUCCUACUUUCGAUAACUAGGCUCAGUGUUACCGAGAAGUUGGGUAAGUAAACAACCAGCUGACAUCUGACUCUCCUUAUUAGAAGUGCAAACUCUUGAACUCCUCCGAUACAUAUAGUUUCUUAUUUCCUCUUUACCUCUGACAUCUAGUACCUGUACCUCUGACAUCUUUCCUCUUUCACUCCUUUAAUUAAUAGAAUAACCCAUGCUAACCCCCUCAAAGCUGUUCUAGUGCAUUUCUUCUUAAUCACAUAGACCUGCUCGCUCCUAUAUCAGCUCUUUCAAACAAAAACGACACUUUCAUAACAGACCUCGAACUGGAACUGGGCUCUAAUCUACCUCUUUCAACUGCCCAGCUAGUGACCGAUUCAAAUCUCCCGAUGAGUUACAUUAGUAACAAGUGAUUCUAUACCUAUGGCUCCUGUACCUAUGGCUUCUCACUGGAACUUGACUCUCAUCCCUCUCUGGCUCUCUUACCUAGGCGGGGAACAAGACAGAUGUAGUUAGUUGCUCAGUAUACUUGCCUAAUAGCUUGGCAGUUUCCCGUUUCAUUCUUAAGUUCGAGUCGAGGUCAGGUCAGGGCAUAAUCUCGUGUUUCAGACCGGAUAUAGUGUUUCAUACCGGUUGUAAGGAAACUGGGCAAUUCCAUCAGUGUCAUCUACUAUACCUUCAAGUUGUAUAAGUAGAGGAGGGUAAACUAAUGCACUAGAUCUAUUCCUUUCUACUUAUACUCUAUUGUACCUUAUUCUUAGUCGGACUUUGACCCUAUUCUUAGUUGCUAUAAGACUUACUUGUCUUAGUCUGAGUAGUACCCUAUUCUUAUCCAUAUCUUACUUGUCUUAUUCUAUGGAAACUCCCCUUCCCGCAACAAAGCCGAUACUUUCUUCUCUUCUUGACGACCCGACCUCUGUGAUUAAUUAGUAAGAAGUGAUUCUAUACCUCUGGAAACUAUACCUUUCCCUUGAAUCUAACGGAAUUGUCCUGGGAUUGCUACUCCACCUCCGGUUUUGGUGAAGAUACCUCGCUUACUAGCCUUUACUUGACUCAACGCCUACCUCGCCUCUGGCUAGGGGCCAAUACAUAGAGAAUUCCACAAGUUGCUGUCAACUACCUCCAAUAGUAUGGGCGGGAAGGUAAGAUCUUUCUGUGCAAGGGAAGUAUCCAAGAGAAUCAGUUGUCACUCCAUACAUAUUCAUUCAUACUGAAAGAAGUGAACUUAUACUCGCUAAAGCCAAACCAAGCAAGUAAGUAAGUAAGCAGUCAGAUUCCACAGAAAAGAAAGGGAAUAGAGUAGUGAGUAUAGACCCACAGAGCGGUAAUUAUUGAUUCAGAGGCUCAAGGCUAAAUAACCCUGUGGGGUAAGAAAGGACUCUAAAUAAAGGUUAAGGUCAGUAACAACUACAAUACAAGUUAUUACAAUUCGAAGUUCUUACAAUCUUAUACAGCGCUAAGUGAAUCAGUAGAGAUAAGUUCGGGGUCAGGGAAAGUAGUUUACAGUGAAAGUGAAGGAUGCCGGAUUAGGAUCUAAAGCGUGAUCUGUAUCUUCAGCCGAAGUGAAGUAUUGUUUUCGGGAGUUACGUAGGCAGUCAGGUAUUCGAUCUAUAGGAGUCUCUUUCCGUUCUUGGUGAAUCUGUCUUUGUUGUGGCGGUUAAUAACUUCCGGUUUAGAAGAGGUCGCCAAAAGGAAAAGAAGAAAGAGAAAGUACUAGAGCGAUGCCGAAUAAUUCCACUCGACAGGAAUAAUGGAACUGAACUUAAUGGCAAUACCUCCUCCUCACGGCAAUACCUCCUCCUCACGGCAACACCUCUUCUUUGUAUGCUACCUAAACUAUAUUUCCAUCUUGAUUCUUUCGAGCACCUGUGCCAACUCCUUUCCCUGACCACGCCUAAACAUGUUUCAUGAAUGAUCAAUCAGUCAAGCCCCGAGUAGUGGCCUUAUCCUUCUGGUCUGAAGCAAGGUUGCAAUCAUACGAGUUGGUUGCUUCGAAGGUUGCUGUAGAGAGAGAUUAUGAGUUGGCGUAAGGAAAGUGAAACAAACUCUACUCGUAUAGAAACGAGGGAACUCCUUGACCCUUUCCUCUAUCCGCUUAAGCUUGGGUAUUCAUGAAAAAAGAGAUGAAUUAGGCUUUCAAAUAAGAUGAAAGUAGAACAGGAGACUCAUAUACGCCAGCUUCCGCCCUUAACCUAACCUAAGCAUGAGAAAAAAGAUGAGUAUUCGGCUUCCUUGAGUGUGGUUACAAAUCCGUAGGUGCACUCGCAUUCAACGCACUGUAGCUUAUAAGAGUAAGCAGUUAGGUUACUUCAUUCUAUCAUAGGGGAGCAUAGCACUCAAUUCCAUUCUUUCGAACAGAGAUUGCAGCCCUCAAUACAUACCGCACUUUUCCCUCAAACCCUUCACAAGCAUAAAAGCUUUGACUUUAUUACUAUCCAGAUUUCUUCGUACGCUUCUAUAUGCGAUGAAACUAGAACACCACUUUCAGAUUACCCGAUUGCCGCUUUAGACUUAAUGGACGCCCCACUCUAUUGACUUUCUCCUAUAGACGGUGAAGUAAGACCACAUGAGGCAGGUUUCUUAUCCUAGGAUAGAUCUCUCUCCACGACCAAUGUCAAAACCAAUACUAUCUUUUUCUUCACCGACGGAUUCUCACACUGUUGAUUCUCCUGAAGGACUUAGCGCGCAUUAUGAAGUAGAAGAUAUUCUUUGCCGACCCGACCCAGAGCUACAACUACUAGAUACGAUGAAUUAGCCUACUUGAACCCUGACUCGUAUACAAUACAAGGUUUGAGCUACAUCGGUUACGACUUGUACCACUACAAGGAAAAGAAGCCUUAUUGUCUUUGUUUCCAACUCAAUUAGUAGCCACCUAAAACAUAAUGGGCGGUAAAGAACAGGGAGAACUCCACUAAAGUAUAAGGAGCUAUGCACUGAACCAACUCACUACUCGGUGUUGGCUUGAACACUUUUCUUGAGAGUGCAAGGCGAGGCGGGCUGUAAACUAACCCUUAUUUGGAGUCUUUUAAGCCGUGGGUCGGAUCCAUUAGAGUAAUCAACCUAUAAAACAAAACCCCGGUUCGGCUGUUAUAGUUAAUUAUAACCUAGAAAGAGAGACCUGUGAGAGUGGUCAAUAGAUUCUGUCACGCCUUACUGACAUCCAAUAGGGCUUUACAUAAACUGGUUUGAACCCGAGACUUUCAAGUUCUAUGUAGAUUGGCGCUACGGUUACGAGAUCUACUUGUUAUCUUGGCAAAGCGCAUUAAGUAAGUAGAUCCUUUAUACCGAUCCGUGUAGUGGGCAUUCGCAUUCAAUAAAUAUACGAUCAAAGUAAAGCACAACUGAGUAAAGUACUAAAUAAGAGUCAAGAGAUGCUCCAACACCGGCUGACUCUGACUGACGCCACGAAGAGAAGAAGCACCUAUCUCUCCAAGACUUCUUGCUCCGGCAAACUAAACUGUCUUGCUUGCUAAAGAAUGAAUUGAGGAUUUCGAGUCUAGCACAGAAGCUGAAGAUCUACCUGAUUGAUGAAUGGAAUCUUUCUCUUACCCCCGAUUCUCUUUAUUUAUACUUUCUACUUUCUCUCGGUGACCUUAAGAACUCUACUUGCGUCUUCAACCAAUUAACUGUUUCUUUUCCAGCGGAAUAGGGAAUUGAUUCUGACCUUCAUCCUGCAUUCUUUCCCGUUGACUCGAUACCUGCCUAUAAGAUUUCUUUGCUUUGCCCCAGGUGAGGUGCACCAAAUGAUCUUCUUGUGGAGUUUGUUCAGAGGUUCGGUUAGGUUACUUACUGUGCCUCUCUAUCUUAUACUUCUAUUUCCAAUUAUCCUCUAUCGUGGUUCAACUCUCCACUCUGUUACUUGUUCUCGUAACUCGCUAAGGAACUCCUUUAUACUAAGCUAGUUGGAACGUAGCUUGUAGGAAGCAAUUCUUUGUUGUUUCAAAAUUCCAUAUUAUGCAAGAGAGAUCAAAUGAUUACUUGACUUCAUUCACACUGGCCCAAACUCCAAUUAUCUGUCUUGCUCGUGGAAGGUAUCAUAUCUCGUCACAAGUUGCGAUUCAAUUAAAGCAAGCAAACAAGCAAGAAAGGCAAAGCUGUAUCGCUCGCGCAUCCAUUCAUUCGUUCUUAAAAGAAACAAGCGAGCAACUAUACAAGCAAGACGGAACAAGAAGCAACGGCAAGGCAAUAAGAAGAGAUUACUUAAAGCGAAGAGAGUACUUAAGGGUUCGGAAAGGAAGCAAUGCUCGGUUGUUAGUAAGGAAAGGUGCUGAAAGCCAGUUUGUUUCAUCUCUUAUAUAUUCUGUUAUAGCUCCCAUUCUUUAAUAAGUUCCGUAUUCUGCUACUAUUCUGGAAUAAUAUUUAUAUGAUAUGCGAUCUAGAUGAAUUAACUUAUUAAUAUCAUAUGCGAUUGAUUUCAAUGAAAUUCCUGGCCUGGGCGCGCUGCCCUACUUGCCCUACUGCUCGACAAAGUAUCAAGUUGCCUUUUUUGGGGCCCAGACUUAUUGUUAAUGGUUGCUUCAGCAGUAGAAAGUUGCUUCGACCCCGGUGAAGUAGCUCCCUAACGCUAAUAACUCAACAAACAAAAAGCAAUGGCAACAUUGCGCUAACGUGAGUUUGCCGGCGAAGCAAUACUGGAAGAAAAUCAUACCUAUACAUAGUAUACUUACCCCAACCUAGCCUGCCAGUCUAACAUUUCUUAACAAAAGAGAGAGCAUUGCUAAAAUGAGCAUAUCUUAGCUCUUAAGUGUUUGCUUUCUUUCAUUUCAUAAUAAAGUGGAUGGAAUUCAAUCUUACUUGAGCCAGGUAAGGGUAAGCGAAAGAAGGGGGGAGUAACACAGUGUUGGUUGUUAAUAUCUUAUAUGUUAUGAUAGCUAUCUUCCAGCACAGGAUAGGGAGGAAAUAAUGAGUGUUUUUACUUUUCAAUAGAUUCUUUCAUUAGAUAGAAUUAUCCUAUUUUGGAAUAUAAGAGCAAAAGACAAGCAUAUUGUGGAAUAUAAGAGCAAAAGAAAAGUCAUCAAUCAUAAGAAAUAGAUUCCCGCCUCGCCUGUGCUUCGUAUCAUAAGAAUUGGCGCUUGCUUUCUUAUCCAGUGCUUCGUAUCUGAUCGCGCUAUAGGGGAUUCGGUACCGCAAUAAUAGGUCUUUCUGUCUGCCUAACAAAAGAGAAAUGGCCGUAAGUCUACUUAGUUCAUUCAUGCUCAUAAGAUUCUACAAGGGCCAAGCAACUAAGCGCCAAGCAACUACGCAAGUCCUGUAUACUUGACUGGUAAGAAAGAGCUGCUGUUAAGAACUGGAACACUUGUGUAUGUACUAUUACCUUCUCUUAGCGUGCACAGUUGCAUGCUGCCUUAGGCAUAUAUCUCUUUCUUAGUUUGUUUCAAGCUUUCCUUAUAAGUUAGUUAGUUUCUUCCUUAUAAGUAAUAUAUCUCUUUCUUAGUUUGUUUCAAGCUUUCCUUAGAAGUUAGUUAGUUUCUUCCUUAUAAGUAAUAUAUCUCUUUCUUAGUUUGUUUCAAGCUUUCCUUAGAAAGUUAGUGUUUAGUAAUGAAUAAAUGUUGUGUAUGUUUCGUCUAUAAGCAAUUCUUUUGUAGUAACACGGAAAGGCAGGCAACUCUUACACCCUAACUCGUGGAAAGUGAGGCCCGCUCGGGCGGCUUCUUAUUGGAUUCCUAGUGUCUACUUUCACUGGUCAAUCAAUCUUUCUUUAUUUCGUCAUGGCACUAAAGAAUCGAUAAAGUAUGUUAGCAUGCAUCACUCAUUACUAUUCGGUACUAAAGGAGAUGGAAAAGCCAGUAUCCGCAGAGCCAGCCUAUAAAGUAGAGUAGGUCCCCUGUAGCAGAUGGAAAUCCAAUGCUAAAGUAAGUGGUGACUUCAGCUGCUAAAUAGGCACAUAUAGUUAACAAGUAAUGUACUUCGGGUGGGAGAGCAUAUAUUCAUUCGGUACUCUCAAGGUCCAAUUGGCAUUCAAAGAGGUUCAUCGCCUCACUUCUCCAAGCGCCGGAUAUUAGGAUAUUUAGUACUCUGAUUUGAGUACUCUGAUUUGGAUUAGGUUAGGAACCAUUUGCUGUUACCUGCAUUGCGAAUUCUUAGGCUAGGUUCCCGUCCCCACUUUCUCCAUUUUAGGGUUAGGGUCCAAGCAACUAGGCGUGGAAAGCAUAUCCCUUACUCGCAUUCGCCUAAUCGAGCAGAAGGCCACUCGGUGAUCAUCCUAUAACUGGCUAGAGUGAGUGUCACAUUACCUAUAACAGGCUAGUUUGAAUGCAGUAAUUAAGGGCACAGGUUUCUAUGGUUCUAUUUAGUCCUGAUUGAUGAGGGUUGUCAAAGACCGGAUCUUUGCACUUCGCAACCCUAUCAGAGUAUGUGCUUAGUGCAAGGCCUCAUAGAAGUUAUAGGUAAUGUAGUAAUACGAGCUCCGGCCCUCAUCUCAUACAAAAUCAACAAGUUAAUGGAUGUUCCCAGUAUUUUCUUGGACCCGAUCACUUUCACCUUUGAUAGAUCAUGGCGGUUUAGUUGGUUUGGGAAGUUUAGUUGAGACUGGGCACGUGCGUCAUCAAAAUGGAAAAGGUAAAGAAGAGAUGGAGGCUCGAAGAGAGGAGAGCCAUUUGCAUCGACCGCUCCUGACGCCAUGAAUACCAAUAACAGUACAAGUAUGGAUCGCCUCUAUAUUGUGUGGGUGUUUCUACUAUUUCUUCAAGCUAUGGAAAAUAAUGCGUAUUGUAUGCCAUUCUCCCAUCAUACUUUCGUUGGAAAACCCAACGCCAAGUCAAACAAUUUGUCUCCUUUCACUUUUCGGGAGCAGAGCAGUAAAAGAAUAGCAAUUCUCAAUAAUGGAAGAGUUCUUCUGGGGAUGUGACAUAUAUCAAACCAAGGAAAUACAAAGUAAGCAAAUAGACGCUACAAUACUCAUGGAAAAAAUCGACUAUAAGAAUGACUUACUAAUGGAUAAAAUACACUAUCAAAAUGAUGAAGUACAAAGUGAGCAAAUAUACUCUCUUCCCCAUUUGAAGGAAAUAACAAGAUUGAGUGCGGAAAUGAGGAUACAGGACUGCAACAGCUUAAGCCCACUUGAGCAAUUUACCAUUCACCCAUUAAUUCUGAUUCGUGGGGGCAACUAUUAUUUCUCAUUCACAAAUCCAUCCUUGUCUCUGCUGCUCACUCUCGGUUUGGUCCUACUUCUGCUUUUUUUGGUUACGAAAAAGGGAGGGGGAAAGUCAGUGCCAAAUGCUUGGCAAUCCUUGGUAGAGCUUCUUUAUGAUUUCGUGCUUAACCCAGUAAACGAACAAAUAGGUGGUCGAAAUGUGAACCAAAAGUUUUUCCCUUGCAUCUCGGUCACUUUGACUUUUUCGUUAUUUUGUAAUCCCCAGGGUAUGAUACCCUAUAGUUUCACAGUUACAAGUCAUUUUCUCAUUACUUUGACUCUAUCAUUUUCUCUUGUUAUAGGCAUUACGAUCGUUGGAUUUCAAAGACAUGGGCUUCAUUUUUUGAGCUUCUCAUUACCAGCAGGAGUCCCACUACCGUUAGCACCUUUUUUAGUACUCCUUGAGCUAAUCCCUCAUUGUUUUCGUGCAUUAAGCUCAGGAAUACGUUUAUUUGCUAAUAUGAUGGCCGGUCAUAGUUCAGUGAAGAUUUUAAGUGGGUCUGCUUGGACUAUACUAUUAUUGAAUAAUGUAUUCUAUUUCAUAGGAGAUCCUGGUCCUUUCUUUAUAGUUCUUGCAUUAACCGGUCCGGAAUUAGGUGUAGCUAUAUUACAAGCUCAUGUUUCUACGAUCUCAAUCUGUAUUUACUUGAAUGAUGCUACAAAUCUCCAUCAAUAUUAGUUCUUUCAUAAUUGAAUCAAAAUGAGGAGCCGGGCAACUGCUAUGCUUUUGCAGCUCAUUUACAUUACUUGGAUUGGAGAGCUAUCAACUAUCCUUUUGGAAGCGGAUAGUAUACAGUGCUAAUUCUCCAAAAUACAUAGGAAAAGCCAACUCAUCAUGAUAUUUCCACUCCAUUUUCAUUACGAAGAUGUCUCACGUCAGGAUCCGUUGCUCAAACCGAAUCACGCCAACGUUAUGGAAGUUCCUGGAUCGUUUGAAAUCAGAUUAGUACCAUCAGCUGCCUUCAUUAUUCCAUUUUCUAAGUUCGCUAUGGAGAUGGAGUGCGGUCAGAGAUUCAUACAGAAACAAAGGAGCCCUUAUUUCCAAGCUGGAAAGGUCAAGUCGUUUCGAUCCAAUACUUUCUUGGGAUCUGAAAAAGACACUGCAUAUGUCAGUGACUUUGAACGACAAAGCGCUCUCCGAGGGCUUGGAAUGUCACAUUUGAUGGUCAGAAUCUCGAUGGUAAUGUCUAUAUUAGAUUCUAAGGUCGAAAUACGGGAAAACCCCAUCCAAUUCUCGAUGGAAACAGAGUUUUUCGAAUUCUCCCCGGAACUAGAAGAGCAUUUCGAGAUCUUCGAGCAUAUUAAAGGGUUCAAUGUGACUAUUGUGACUUCGGCCAACACAAAAGAUGAGACUUUACCAUUGUGGAGCGGCUUUUUGCUAAAAGAUUAAGGGGAGACUAAGUCAGAUGUCGGAGAAGCGAAAUAUACUUGAUCACAAACGUAGAUUGCUUGCGGCUAAAUAUGAAUUGAGACGAAAGCUUUAUAAAGCCUUUAGUAAGGAUUCCGAUCUUCCAUAUGAGAUGCGGGACAAGCUUCGUUAUAAGUUGUCCAUGUUGCCAAGAAAUAGUGCCUUUGCACGAAUAAGAAACCGAUGUAUUUCCACGGGUCGCCCUCGUUCCGUAGUUAAGUUCUUUCGCAUUUCUCGUAUUGUUUUUCGUGGAUUAGCAUCUCGAGGUCCUUUGAUGGGCAUUACAAAAUCCUCUUGGUAGCACAACAAAGGUUAUAGCUCCGAAGCUGGUACACAAGCAAGGGUUUUAGGUACAUUACCAUAUGGCUCCUGACCGAAAAGACCUAAUAGAGUAAUCCCAACUCUCGCAGCAGAGAUGAUAACAGCACGGGAAUCGAUUGGCUCUCCACCGAAUCAGACAUAGACUUCAAGCUGGGUAGUACUCUUGGAAAGAUAGAAGAUCACCCCGUGAACAACAUCUAAAGUGACGAAUGGCACCACCAAGACAUUAUUAACAAUUCUUUUUCCAUUGUCAGAGAACUCUUGUUCAUGUUCACGCCUACGUGCUGAGCCCACCAUUUAAGUCAGAGUCUGGGAGUGGGCCCCAUUACUAACACAACCAAAUAGGGUUCCAAAUGAGAAAGACCAAUAUGUUAUUCGUUUCGUUGGUAGAACCUACGCUCAUUUUACAAUAUGAUAGUUGAUUGACUCUCUCUCGUCCAAUAAAAAGCCAUAAUAGUAUAUCCGAGAGUCAAGUCACUUUCAACACUUCUGAUUCUCUCCUUUCCAAAGCUCCACAAGGCAAGCAAAAUACGUCAAGUAAUAGGAGUCGAAAUUCCAUAAGUAAUAGGACAUGACAUACUGUAGUAGCUUGGUUUGUUCAUUGGUCUUUCUUUCUUUUUGAGUUCUUUCUUAGUUUAGAUGGAAAUCGACGUUCUUUUCCAAAGUAGUAGGGCACUUCUUAAUUCAAGGCUUUUCUUUCAUAGGGUUCUCUUAAUGACUAGUCGUUUGAAGCCUUAAUCAAUCAAGUUUCCGUUUCUUUUGCUUGGCCCGUUGCCCAGUCACAGCCUCCUUCUCGCCCAAAUUGGAUUAAUGCAGGCAGCUUUUUUCUGAUUCAGGGCGCAGCGAAGCCCAUUUCUAUAUCAAGGCAAAGAGAUCAAAUAAGGGGAAGAGGAGUUUUCACGAAAGAAGAUAAAUGACUCUAAGGAACCAACGAUUCUCUAUUCUUAAACAACCCAUACCCUCCACACUUAACCAGCAUUUUAUAAAUUAUCCAACUCCGAGCAAUAUUAGUUAUUGGUGGGGUUUCGGUCCGUUAGCUGGUAUUUGUUUAGUGAUUCAGAUAGUAACUGGCGUUUUUUUAGCUAUGCAUUACACACCUCAUGUGGAUCUAGCUUUCAACAGCGUAGAACACAUUAUGAGAGAUGUUGAAGGUGGCUGGUUGCUCCGUUAUAUGCAUGCUAAUGGGGCAAGUAUGUUUCUCAUUGUGGUUCACCUUCAUAUUUUUCGUGGUCUAUAUUAUGCGAGUUAUUGCAGUCCUAGGGAAUUUGUUCGGUGUCUCGGAGUUGUCAUAUUCCUAUUAAUGAUUGUGACAGCUUUUAUAGGAUACGUACCACCUUGGGGUCAGAUGAGCUUUUGGGGAGCUACAGUAAUUACAAGCUUAGCUAGCGCCAUACCAGUAGUAGGAGAUACAAUAGUGACUUGGCUUUGGGGUGGUUUCUCCGUGGACAAUGCAACCUUAAAUCGUUUUUUUAGUCUCCAUUAUUUACUCCCCCUUAUUCUAGUAGGCGCCAGUCUUCUUCAUCUGGCCGCAUUGCAUCAAUAUGGAUCAAAUAAUCCAUUGGGUGUACAUUCUGAGAUGGAUAAAAUCACUUCUUACCCAUAUUUUUAUGUAAAGGAUCUAGUAGGUCGGGUAGCUUUUGCUAUCUUUUCUUCCAUUUGGAUUUUUUAUGCUCCUAAUGUUUUGGGGCAUCCCGAUAAUUAUAUACCUGCUAAUCCGAUGUCCACCCCGCCUCAUAUUGUGCCGGAAUGGUAUUUCCUACCGAUCCAUGCCAUUCUUCGCAGUAUACCCGACAAAUCCGGAGGUGUAGCCGCAAUAGCACCAGUUUUUAUAUCUCUGUUGGCUUUACCUUUUAUGAAAAAUAUGUUUAUUCGUAGUUCCAGUUUUCGCCCGAUUCACCAAGGAAUCUUUUGGUUGCUUUUGGCAGAUCGCUUAAUA